AUUGAACGCUGGCGGCAGGCUUAACACAUGCAAGUCGAGCGGGGAAAGGUAGCUUGCUACCUGACCUAGCGGCGGACGGGUGAGUAAUGCUUAGGAAUCUGCCUAUUAGUGGGGGACAACAUUCCGAAAGGAAUGCUAAUACCGCAUACGCCCUACGGGGGAAAGCAGGGGAUCUUCGGACCUUGCGCUAAUAGAUGAGCCUAAGUCAGAUUAGCUAGUUGGUGGGGUAAAGGCCUACCAAGGCGACGAUCUGUAGCGGGUCUGAGAGGAUGAUCCGCCACACUGGGACUGGGACACGGCCCAGACUCCUACGGGAGGCAGCAGUGGGGAAUAUUGGACAAUGGGCGAAAGCCUGAUCCAGCCAUGCCGCGUGUGUGAAGAAGGCCUUUUGGUUGUAAAGCACUUUAAGCGAGGAGGAGGCUACUUAGAUUAAUACUCUAGGAUAGUGGACGUUACUCGCAGAAUAAGCACCGGCUAACUCUGUGCCAGCAGCCGCGGUAAUACAGAGGGUGCGAGCGUUAAUCGGAUUUACUGGGCGUAAAGCGUGCGUAGGCGGCUUUUUAAGUCGGAUGUGAAAUCCCUGAGCUUAACUUAGGAAUUGCAUUCGAUACUGAGAAGCUAGAGUAUGGGAGAGGAUGGUAGAAUUCCAGGUGUAGCGGUGAAAUGCGUAGAGAUCUGGAGGAAUACCGAUGGCGAAGGCAGCCAUCUGGCCUAAUACUGACGCUGAGGUACGAAAGCAUGGGGAGCAAACAGGAUUAGAUACCCUGGUAGUCCAUGCCGUAAACGAUGUCUACUAGCCGUUGGGGCCUUUGAGGCUUUAGUGGCGCAGCUAACGCGAUAAGUAGACCGCCUGGGGAGUACGGUCGCAAGACUAAAACUCAAAUGAAUUGACGGGGGCCCGCACAAGCGGUGGAGCAUGUGGUUUAAUUCGAUGCAACGCGAAGAACCUUACCUGGUCUUGACAUAGUAAGAACUUUCCAGAGAUGGAUUGGUGCCUUCGGGAACUUACAUACAGGUGCUGCAUGGCUGUCGUCAGCUCGUGUCGUGAGAUGUUGGGUUAAGUCCCGCAACGAGCGCAACCCUUUUCCUUAUUUGCCAGCGGGUUAAGCCGGGAACUUUAAGGAUACUGCCAGUGACAAACUGGAGGAAGGCGGGGACGACGUCAAGUCAUCAUGGCCCUUACGACCAGGGCUACACACGUGCUACAAUGGUCGGUACAAAGGGUUGCUACCUAGCGAUAGGAUGCUAAUCUCAAAAAGCCGAUCGUAGUCCGGAUUGGAGUCUGCAACUCGACUCCAUGAAGUCGGAAUCGCUAGUAAUCGCGGAUCAGAAUGCCGCGGUGAAUACGUUCCCGGGCCU
RNAcentral lists this ribosomal RNA (1359 nucleotides) under uncultured bacterium. RNAcentral's name for it is "bacterial SSU rRNA". It matches the Rfam family "Bacterial small subunit ribosomal RNA", at positions 28 to 1381 of the family's 1533-position model. The record is from RNAcentral.